RNAcentral lists this ribosomal RNA (404 nucleotides) under Fusobacteriota bacterium. RNAcentral's name for it is "Fusobacteria bacterium partial 16S ribosomal RNA". It matches the Rfam family "Bacterial small subunit ribosomal RNA", at positions 355 to 776 of the family's 1533-position model. Lineage: Bacteria; Fusobacteriati; Fusobacteriota. The record is from RNAcentral.
UGGGGAAUAUUGCACAAUGGAGGGAACUCUGAUACAGCGACGCCGCGUGAGUGAUGAAGGAAUUCGUUUCGUAAAACUCUGUUCUAUGGGAAGAAAAGGACUGUACCAUAGGAGAAAGCUCCGGCUAAAUACGUGCCAGCAGCCGCGGUAAUACGUAUGGAGCGAGCGUUGUCCGGAAUUAUUGGGCGUAAAGGGUGCGCAGGCGGCUUUACAAGUUGGAUGUGAAAUAUUGUGGCUCAACCACAAACGUGCAUCCAAAACUGCAAAGCUUGAGUUAAGGAGAGGUAAGUGGAAGUCCUGGUGUAGAGGUGGAAUGCGUAGAUAUCAGGAGGAAUACCGGUGGCGAAGGCGACUUACUGGACUUAAACUGACGCUCAGGCACGAAAGCGUGGGGAGCAAACAGG